Molecule: long non-coding RNA, 456 nt
Organism: Drosophila mojavensis
Lineage: Eukaryota; Metazoa; Arthropoda; Insecta; Diptera; Drosophilidae
Exons: 3
Source: RefSeq, a predicted model, not a curated record
UUUAUUCUGUAGACUAUCGACAACCGGUUAUCGAUGGAUCUUAAGCAACCAUCGUCACUAUCGAUUGCUCUAACUAUUGUCGCUUUGUGACUCUUCAAUAACUAUCGCCUCUAUUGAUGGCCAUCCACCUCUAAAUUAUUUGGCAUGUUAGAGUAUUUAAAUAUUGGAAUAUAAAGACUCCUUAUUAAAAUACGUAGAUUAUUGCUUUCUAUAUGCCAGGUCAGGCAUUGACAUUGGCAUUGGCUUUGCUGGAGAUCCAUCCCACUCGCAGGACACUGGGCGAUUUAUGACCGGCCCGGCAAGGAGCACGGCGGGCAUAUCAACUCCGCCAAUGCGCUUGGCUGCGCACAGCACUUAAUGCAAAGCGGAAUUAACCGUAAUGCUGAUCAUCAGGAAUAAAUUACAGUUUCAAUAAAAUGCAACAACAUAAAUACACAAAAAAUGAUGAAACAAACU